RNAcentral lists this ribosomal RNA (775 nucleotides) under uncultured Neocallimastigales. RNAcentral's name for it is "partial large subunit ribosomal RNA". It matches the Rfam family "Eukaryotic large subunit ribosomal RNA", at positions 18 to 643 of the family's 3401-position model. Lineage: Eukaryota; Fungi; Neocallimastigomycota; Neocallimastigomycetes; Neocallimastigales. The record is from RNAcentral.
UUCAGACGAUGCGUCAUGCAUAUCAAUAAGCGGAGGAAAAGAAACUAACAAGGAUUCCCCUAGUAACGGCGAGUGAAGCGGGAAGAGCUCAAAUUUGAAAUCUUAAAGGGUUUCCCUUUACGAAUUGUAGUUUAAAGAAGUGUUUUCUGUUGAGGUUUUGGUAAAAGUUCUUUGGAAUAGGACAUCAUAGAGGGUGAGAAUCCCGUAUUUGACCUUUACUUUCAACUUUGUGAUACACUUUCAAAGAGUCGGAUUGUUUGGGAAUGCAGUCCAAAAUGGGUGGUAAAUUUCAUCUAAAGCUAAAUAUUGGCGAGAGACCGAUAGCGAACAAGUACCGUGAGGGAAAGAUGAAAAGAACUUUGAAAAGAGAGUUAAACAGUACGUGAAAUUGUCAAAAGGGAAGCGUUUGACACCAGUGUUGUUUUUCUGAAAAUCAAUUAAAGAACUGUUUAUGCUAAGUUGUUUAGACUUUAUCAGCUAACUGUUUAGUUUUGAGCUUUUCUUUAAUGCACUUUUCAGUUAACAAGUCAACAUCAAUUUCUUUUGCUGUAAAAAAGCUUGAGGAAGGUGGCUUGAGAUUCGUCUUAAGUGUUUAUAGCCUCUUGCCUAUGCAGUCGGAGAGAUUGAGGUCUGCAGCGUAGAUCCUUCGGGGCUAAAUGCAUUUGUGCUAAGUUAUAGCAUUUUAUAGACAACUUGUUGACUAUGAUUUGUCUUGUAGCUUACUCGCUUAUGUUAUUUUACCUACGCUUAGGAUGUUGACACACGCGCGUGCUCG